This 148-nucleotide non-coding RNA is filed under the name Pan troglodytes (chimpanzee). The record is from Rfam by way of RNAcentral. Lineage: Eukaryota; Metazoa; Chordata; Mammalia; Primates; Hominidae.
GCUGGGCAUGGUGGCACAUGCCUGUAAUCCCAGCUACUCAGGAGGCUAAGGCACAAGAAUCACUUGAACUUAGGAGGCAGAGGUUGCAGUGAGCAGCGGUCAUGCCAUUGCAUUCUAGCCUGGGUGACAGAGUGAGACUUUGUCUUUA